This 515-nucleotide long non-coding RNA is filed under the name Homo sapiens (human). Its description in RNAcentral is "HSALNT0361996". Lineage: Eukaryota; Metazoa; Chordata; Mammalia; Primates; Hominidae. The record is from RNAcentral.
AUAUGUUCUCAGCAACUGCAUGAAAAGAAGCUUCUUUCCCAUUCCAUCUAUCAGAAGCCCCCGGUACCAGGCUCUAAAAUGACCAACCUGGGUCAAGUGUUCAUUCUUGUACUCUUCUCUAUGGCCAGAGGUUCACAGGUGCUGUGAUGUCUUUCACAGGCAAUGGAUAAAGCAUCCUGCAUUGUCCUAGGCACACUCUGUAGGGAAGAUAUGGGAAUCUGAAGUCAACUUUGCCAAAAUUGGUAAAAGAGAUCAUUUAAAUGGCUUCCAGAGUUCUGGAUGAACAGUUUCUUCAAGAAGGAAUUUGGAAAAGGAGGAAGAGAGAGAACCCUCUCUCCAAAUGCACAUACUGAAGAAAGACCAUGUGAAUAUACAACAAGAAGGGGAUUGUCUACAAGCCAGGAAGAAAGCACUCACCAAAACCUGACCUUGCUGGUACCCUGAUUCCAGAUUUCCAGACUUUGGAACUAUGAGAAAUAAAUUGGUUGUUUUAACCACGUAGUCUACAGUAUUUU